This 984-nucleotide ribosomal RNA is filed under the name Salmonella enterica. RNAcentral's name for it is "bacterial SSU rRNA". It matches the Rfam family "Bacterial small subunit ribosomal RNA", at positions 1 to 974 of the family's 1533-position model. RNAcentral also lists the same sequence under 2 other names. The record is from RNAcentral. Lineage: Bacteria; Pseudomonadati; Pseudomonadota; Gammaproteobacteria; Enterobacterales; Enterobacteriaceae.
AAAUUGAAGAGUUUGAUCAUGGCUCAGAUUGAACGCUGGCGGCAGGCCUAACACAUGCAAGUCGAACGGUAACAGGAAGCAGCUUGCUGCUUUGCUGACGAGUGGCGGACGGGUGAGUAAUGUCUGGGAAACUGCCUGAUGGAGGGGGAUAACUACUGGAAACGGUGGCUAAUACCGCAUAACGUCGCAAGACCAAAGAGGGGGACCUUCGGGCCUCUUGCCAUCAGAUGUGCCCAGAUGGGAUUAGCUAGUUGGUGAGGUAACGGCUCACCAAGGCGACGAUCCCUAGCUGGUCUGAGAGGAUGACCAGCCACACUGGAACUGAGACACGGUCCAGACUCCUACGGGAGGCAGCAGUGGGGAAUAUUGCACAAUGGGCGCAAGCCUGAUGCAGCCAUGCCGCGUGUAUGAAGAAGGCCUUCGGGUUGUAAAGUACUUUCAGCGGGGAGGAAGGUGUUGUGGUUAAUAACCACAGCAAUUGACGUUACCCGCAGAAGAAGCACCGGCUAACUCCGUGCCAGCAGCCGCGGUAAUACGGAGGGUGCAAGCGUUAAUCGGAAUUACUGGGCGUAAAGCGCACGCAGGCGGUCUGUCAAGUCGGAUGUGAAAUCCCCGGGCUCAACCUGGGAACUGCAUUCGAAACUGGCAGGCUUGAGUCUUGUAGAGGGGGGUAGAAUUCCAGGUGUAGCGGUGAAAUGCGUAGAGAUCUGGAGGAAUACCGGUGGCGAAGGCGGCCCCCUGGACAAAGACUGACGCUCAGGUGCGAAAGCGUGGGGAGCAAACAGGAUUAGAUACCCUGGUAGUCCACGCCGUAAACGAUGUCUACUUGGAGGUUGUGCCCUUGAGGCGUGGCUUCCGGAGCUAACGCGUUAAGUAGACCGCCUGGGGAGUACGGCCGCAAGGUUAAAACUCAAAUGAAUUGACGGGGGCCCGCACAAGCGGUGGAGCAUGUGGUUUAAUUCGAUGCAACGCGAAGAACCUUAC